This 1366-nucleotide long non-coding RNA is filed under the name Equus asinus (donkey). RNAcentral's name for it is "lncRNA (ENSEASG00005023785.1)". Lineage: Eukaryota; Metazoa; Chordata; Mammalia; Perissodactyla; Equidae. The record is from RNAcentral.
CCAUUCACUCCCUGCGCCAGGCUCUGUGCUGGGAUCCAGCCUCAACAGACUCAUUCAUUGCUAGACGCGGACAACGUCCCGUAAACAAAGAACGCUCAGACAUUGUGGUUUGUGCUAUAAUAAGUGGGAGAAAGAGCUAAUUCUAAUUCUGCCUGGAGGAAGGGCAUUGCAAGUCAUGGAAUUUGUACUGUCUAGGGGACUGCAUAUUGGAGCUGGAAGAGGGUUUUUCCAGAGGAAGUAACUGGAGAUGAGGUGGGACGGGGCAGGCUGGGACGAAGAAUUUGGGCUUCUUGAUGUUGGCAAUCGGGACCCCGCUGAGAAAUGCGAGCAGUUCUGUGUUGAAGUCAGAACACCUGCCACUAGCAAUUUGUACAACUUUGGGAAAGUUUCUCUAGGGGACCCCGCUUCCACAUCUAUAAAUCAGAGUACCCACUUCACAGUUUGCUGUGAGGCCUGUGUGACAGAGGAAUGACUGAUUCGUCACCUAUAGAGCAGGGUUGUGAGAUAAAGAUGUUUGUGUAUGAAAGGUUAAGCCGUUCUCCUCUGCUACGUGGUGUAAAGAUCCCAGGAGAAAGAGCCCUUUAACUGCAGCUGGAUCCAGGAACCCAGGCGGGGAAGCAUCAGCAGAGUACUUUUAUUCUGGCAUUCUAUGUGAAGGCAGAAGUCUGGGUUCCACUUGCGAGUUGUGUACAAUAAACUGAAGAAAAUCAGGAAUCCAGGCGCAGCUUAGGAAUCAGUCCUCAGGUGCUGUUGGACUUGGUUCCGUGCUGGCUAUUGGCUGGAGGCUGUCCUCAGUUCCUUGCCGUGUGGACCUCUCUGUAGGGCAGCUCACAACAUGGCAGAUGGCUUCCAUCAGAGCAAGGAGGUGAGAAAAACAGAGAGAACGAGAAAGACAGAGAAAGAGAUGGAUGGAAGCCAAAGUGUUUUUGCAAUCUGACCUCAGAUGUGGCAUCCCGUCUCUUUUGUCAUAUUCUGUUCAUUAAAAGCAAGUCAUUAGGUUCAGCUCACACUCAAGGUGAGGGGACUACAUGACGGAAUGAAGACCAGGAGCCAUCUCAGUGGCUCCCUAGGACACAGCUCAAAUCUGCUCUUUCACCCCGUGUCAGACCUGGACAGCUCUGACCCAUUCUCCAAGCCUCAGAGUAGAUGCUUCACCCUCCAGGAUUGAGUUAAUGGUCCUUCGAGCAUGCCUCUGUGACACCCUGGACUUCUCCAUCUAGCCCCCACCACAGCAUGUCAUUACCUAGCCACUGGUCUGCCUCCUGCCCCUUCUGUAAGCUCUGUGAGGACAGCCACCUUGUCUCUUGUCUUCACUGAUGUGGACCCAGACCCAAGCAUAGGGCCAAAACAUACUGGGCACUCGGGG